CUGCACCUCCAACAGGUAUAUCAGGGACGGAUGAGCCCCCCAGCAUUUCAGUUUGGCGCAUAAACAGAAAGAUCAUGCAGCACAUCGAUUACAGUGCCUUGCCUUACCUGAUCCGAGGCCAUACACAGUAUGGGAGAACUUUAGGUCGUGAUUGAGCUGCAAAGCUGCAUAUGACAGAUUUGCUGCACCACACCAUCGGCGAGUUAGUCUCCUGGCCACAACUCAUUAUCUUUGCUCGAGACGUGAACUGGCCGGUCAGUGACUCACCACGGUCAAUACUGCACAAAAGAGCCACGCUGAAAAAGAAAGGCAAGAGGUGGUGGUCCACUUUUCGGAGCACAGCCUUCCCAUAAGUGCCCUGUUGCACAGAGAACCUGUGCUGUUCUUGGACUCCAUUUGGCAGUGCCUCAGAGGGACGCAUGCAUGCUGCCUGAGAGGCAUCAUGAGCAUAGCUUUCUCUGCCAUGCAAGGCCUGCGCGUGUGCAACAUGCCAUUGGAUUGAAUAAAAUGGGCUGUGCGUGCUAAGUUGUCUGGGUAGGAUAUCAGGGAAUUGACUCCUCGUACCUGCUCUGGGUCAUCACCGGAUGGGGUGCUGCUCAAUGUAUACACAGGGCUCUCAGCCGAUCCAGGAGCUGCUGAUGAAAAUUUCGGUAGCAAAUUGGAAGUCUCAUCUGCAACAGCGUCCUUGGCUGCAUGCACGUGUCCCCUGAUGCCUAACAUGCCAUCUCCUCUUGUGACGUUGAUUUAUGAGCUGUACGAUGGCAAGCGCAAUUCAUUUGAGAAACAAUUUGCACUCACCUGCUGUGUGUGUCAUUUAAUGCUUCAGGAUAGCUUCAUGACCAGGAGGACUCGAGCGACCAGCAACGCCAACACCCCAUUCCAGAACCUCUAGGAACGGGGAUCGGGUAGCGGCGUUGUCAAGAUCGAAAUCUUGAUGCUUGCGUAGUCCUCGGAUCAAUACAAGAGGUGGGCUCGUGUGCGAAAUAGUCCUCAGAUCAGGUACGAUGUUACCAUUUUGUUUUGGUGCCCGGGGAAUCAGUACUACAGACAGACAGACAUUCAAUGUAACAGUGAGAUGACAACUUUGAGUCAUUAACGAUACAGGUAUGUUGUGCA
RNAcentral lists this long non-coding RNA (1116 nucleotides) under Coccomyxa subellipsoidea. Its description in RNAcentral is "long non-coding RNA (CSUB_LNC000227)". Lineage: Eukaryota; Viridiplantae; Chlorophyta; Trebouxiophyceae; Coccomyxaceae. The record is from RNAcentral.